ACCCAGGGAUGACAGGAUACCCGCUGGAAGCGGUUGGACCGGCUCAGGAAGAGUCAGCAUGUUCAGGAUGGACAUGCCUCACGGAUGAACAGGGACACGCUGGAAGCGUUAAGGGACACCUCCAGGAUGGAGAGAGCGCGGUUACCAGGAUGGUAGCCAGGCCAGGAGGCUGCGGACACCCCGAAGGAUUGGGAAGGGGAAAUUCCUAAGGAAAGGAAAUAGUCAGGGAUUGCAGGGAGCAUGGCUGUUCAGGGAAUGGACAACACGACUCGGGGGGGACGGCGAAAGCCGCCCCCCUUUUCUUUUUC
This is a non-coding RNA of Aeromonas schubertii, 308 nucleotides long. The record is from Rfam. Lineage: Bacteria; Pseudomonadati; Pseudomonadota; Gammaproteobacteria; Aeromonadales; Aeromonadaceae.